GACGAACGCUGGCGGCGUGCCUAAUACAUGCAAGUAGAACGCACAGUUUAUACCGUAGCUUGCUACACCAUAGACUGUGAGUUGCGAACGGGUGAGUAACGCGUAGGUAACCUGCCUGGUAGCGGGGGAUAACUAUUGGAAACGAUAGCUAAUACCGCAUAAUAUUAAUUAUUGCAUGAUAAUUAAUUGAAAGUUGCAAUUGCACCACUACCAGAUGGACCUGCGUUGUAUUAGCUAGUAGGGGAGGUAACGGCUCACCUAGGCGACGAUACAUAGCCGACCUGAGAGGGUGGUCGGCCACACUGGGACUGAGACACGGCCCAGACUCCUACGGGAGGCAGCAGUAGGGAAUCUUCGGCAAUGGACGAAAGUCUGACCGAGCAACGCCGCGUGAGUGAAGAAGGUUUUCGGAUCGUAAAGCUCUGUUGUAAGAGAAGAACGGGUGUGAGAGUGGAAAGUUCACACUGUGACGGUAUCUUACCAGAAAGGGACGGCUAACUACGUG
RNAcentral lists this ribosomal RNA (505 nucleotides) under uncultured bacterium. Its description in RNAcentral is "partial 16S ribosomal RNA". It matches the Rfam family "Bacterial small subunit ribosomal RNA", at positions 28 to 507 of the family's 1533-position model. The record is from RNAcentral.